Molecule: ribosomal RNA, 58 nt
Filed under: Fusarium solani
Lineage: Eukaryota; Fungi; Ascomycota; Sordariomycetes; Hypocreales; Nectriaceae
Description: partial 28S ribosomal RNA
Rfam family: Eukaryotic large subunit ribosomal RNA
Source: RNAcentral
UUGACCUCGAAUCAGGUAGGAAUACCCGCUGAACUUAAGCAUAUCAAUAAGCGGAGGC